Schizosaccharomyces pombe (fission yeast) is the source of this 358-nucleotide non-coding RNA. Lineage: Eukaryota; Fungi; Ascomycota; Schizosaccharomycetes; Schizosaccharomycetales; Schizosaccharomycetaceae. The record is from the annotation of a GenBank genome assembly.
AAAAAGAUCAAAAUGAAUAAUAAUUCAAGCAAAUUAAAUUAAAUUAACAUCAUUACCAAUAAAUUAUUAAUUUUUACUAGUAAAGAGUGUAUUUUGACAUUAAUUUUACUGAUUUCGCAUAUUUGGUUCUAUCUACGAUAUCAAUAGUACCAAGCAAGUAGAUAGGGAGUCCUUGAAUAGCCAAACAGCAGAUCUUAAACAUCAUGAAAUACUUAGGACUACAAGUGUUGAGAUACUUAUGAUUGCGAUAAAUACAAUUCUUUAUCGAUAAUCAAUUUAGGAACGGACAGGAAAGUUGCAAAUUAGCAAAUUUUUAAAGCUUUAUUAUAAUAAUUAAUUGUCAAGAUCUUUAUUUUGC